AAAGUUCUUCAUGAUGUUUAGUCAGAAUCUCCUUUCUUGUAAUUUGAAUCCUUUGGUUUGGGUCCUACCUUCCAGAGCAGGAGUAAACAAGCUUGCUCCAUCUUCCAUGUGACAGCCCUUGAGAUAUUUGAAGAUGCCUAUCAUAUUUCUUCUUAAGUCUCCUCUUUUCCAGGCUAAACAUGCCCAUCUGCUUCAA
This is a non-coding RNA of Podarcis lilfordi (Lilford's wall lizard), 196 nucleotides long. The record is from the annotation of a GenBank genome assembly. NCBI's taxonomy places the organism in Eukaryota, Metazoa, Chordata, Lepidosauria, Squamata, Lacertidae.